CUUAAAUUCAACCCAUUAGAAUAUGUUAUGUGGGAAGACCCAGAUGCCAUCGCUCAAGCGCCAGGAGGUAGGCCAGGCCCCGAUCCACCGCGGGAAGGAGAACCACGCCUGCUCCCAAACCAGACGCCAUCGCUCAAGCGCCGGGAAGUCUCCCCAGGUUUAGUUCACCCCAUCAACCUGCAAUUCUACCUACUCAAGCCUGAACCGCCCGCCAUGCAUGAUGAAGGAAAACACAGGAAUAAUGCCCCCAAAGAACCGAAAAGUAUGAAGUUUCGGCACUAGCAGCCCUGUAGGUGCAGGUGGGUUAUGUGACACCCCACCUUCCCAUGGAGCUCUCUGUAUCUUAUGCACAUUAGGGG
This 359-nucleotide long non-coding RNA is filed under the name Fukomys damarensis (Damara mole-rat). Its description in RNAcentral is "lncRNA (ENSFDAG00000028508.1)". Lineage: Eukaryota; Metazoa; Chordata; Mammalia; Rodentia; Bathyergidae. The record is from RNAcentral.